UGGGGAAUUUUGGACAAUGGGCGAAAGCCUGAUCCAGCAAUGCCGCGUGUGUGAAGAAGGCCUUCGGGUUGUAAAGCACUUUUGUCCGGAAAGAAAUCCUUGGCUCUAAUACAGUCGGGGGAUGACGGUACCGGAAGAAUAAGCACCGGCUAACUACGUGCCAGCAGCCGCGGUAAUACGUAGGGUGCAAGCGUUAAUCGGAAUUACUGGGCGUAAAGCGUGCGCAGGCGGUUUGCUAAGACCGAUGUGAAAUCCCCGGGCUCAACCUGGGAACUGCAUUGGUGACUGGCAGGCUAGAGUAUGGCAGAGGGGGGUAGAAUUCCACGUGUAGCAGUGAAAUGCGUAGAGAUGUGGAGGAAUACCGAUGGCGAAGGCAGCCCCCUGGGCCAAUACUGACGCUCAUGCACGAAAGCGUGGGGAGCAAACAGGAUUAGAUACCCUGGUAGUCCACGCCCUAAACGAUGUCAACUAGUUGUUGGGGAUUCAUUUCCUUAGUAACGUAGCUAACGCGUGAAGUUGACCGCCUGGGGAGUACGGUCGCAAGAUUAAAACUCAAGUGAAUUGACGGGGUCAUAGCUGUUUCCU
RNAcentral lists this ribosomal RNA (585 nucleotides) under uncultured bacterium. RNAcentral describes it as "partial 16S ribosomal RNA". It matches the Rfam family "Bacterial small subunit ribosomal RNA", at positions 355 to 1375 of the family's 1533-position model. The record is from RNAcentral.